UGGUGAUUUCACAGAAAAUAUGUUACUUCCAUUUUCUCCAUCCGCCCAGAAUGAACACAUGGAAAGCUGAAGUUGGAAAGAGUUCUGGAGAAGCUGUUCCUAGGAGAAGCUGGGAGAAUACAAAGGGACAGACUUGAGCUAUAAGGAAGGAUGUCUUUCAUAUUUGGGCAGCAUCUCAUCAAGCCUUCCGUGGUGUUUUUGAGGACGGAAUUGUCCUUUGCUCUCGUGAACAGGAAGCCGGUGGUCCCAGGACAAAUAUGUCGCUGCCAGCUGCAAUUGGAAAUCACGUAUAUGAAGCACUCUAGAUUAGUAAAAGACAGAAGAAGGG
RNAcentral lists this long non-coding RNA (328 nucleotides) under Phascolarctos cinereus (koala). Its description in RNAcentral is "lncRNA (ENSPCIG00000021933.2)". Lineage: Eukaryota; Metazoa; Chordata; Mammalia; Diprotodontia; Phascolarctidae. The record is from RNAcentral.